AAAUUGAAGAGUUUGAUCAUGGCUCAGAUUGAACGCUGGCGGCAGGCCUAACACAUGCAAGUCGAGCGGUAGCACAGAGAGCUUGCUCUCGGGUGACGAGCGGCGGACGGGUGAGUAAUGUCUGGGAAACUGCCUGAUGGAGGGGGAUAACUACUGGAAACGGUAGCUAAUACCGCAUAACGUCGCAAGACCAAAGUGGGGGACCUUCGGGCCUCAUGCCAUCAGAUGUGCCCAGAUGGGAUUAGCUAGUAGGUGGGGUAACGGCUCACCUAGGCGACGAUCCCUAGCUGGUCUGAGAGGAUGACCAGCCACACUGGAACUGAGACACGGUCCAGACUCCUACGGGAGGCAGCAGUGGGGAAUAUUGCACAAUGGGCGCAAGCCUGAUGCAGCCAUGCCGCGUGUGUGAAGAAGGCCUUCGGGUUGUAAAGCACUUUCAGCGGGGAGGAAGGCGAUAAGGUUAAUAACCUUGUCGAUUGACGUUACCCGCAGAAGAAGCACCGGCUAACUCCGUGCCAGCAGCCGCGGUAAUACGGAGGGUGCAAGCGUUAAUC
This 554-nucleotide ribosomal RNA is filed under the name Klebsiella pneumoniae. Its description in RNAcentral is "bacterial SSU rRNA". It matches the Rfam family "Bacterial small subunit ribosomal RNA", at positions 1 to 546 of the family's 1533-position model. The record is from RNAcentral. RNAcentral also lists the same sequence under 1 other name. Lineage: Bacteria; Pseudomonadati; Pseudomonadota; Gammaproteobacteria; Enterobacterales; Enterobacteriaceae.